Ostrinia furnacalis (Asian corn borer) is the source of this 359-nucleotide long non-coding RNA. RefSeq lists it as uncharacterized. The transcript is spliced from 2 exons. Lineage: Eukaryota; Metazoa; Arthropoda; Insecta; Lepidoptera; Crambidae. The record is from RefSeq and is a predicted model, not a curated record.
ACAACUUGUCUAUGAUACAAAUGUUUCUUUACUAGCUACUAACAGUUAUUAUUUUAAUCUUAACAUCUAAUCUUAAAUCGUACUAACAGUAACAGUGACACAUCACAAAAUAAUAUGUAUAAUAUUAUGUACAAUUUAUCUAAUAAUUCCGUUAUUACUUAGCCUACAUUACACCACAACACAACUUAUACAAGUCUCUAAAAGAAUGGACGAAUAAUCAUCUACCUUUAGUAUAAUUUAAUAUCUUUUAGGUCUUCUUCUCAGUUUAUUAGAUUUGCUUAAAUCAUGAUGAUAUGACACUGCAGUGGAAAUCUUCAAUUAUUGUAAUAUUCGUUGUAAUUACAAAUGUAAAAGAAACU